GCAAUUUAGGGUUGGCCGAAGGCUGAUUAGCUAGUUGGCUGGGGUAAUGGCCUACCAAGGCGACGAUCAGUAGCUGGUCUGAGAGGACGACCAGCCACACUGGGACUGAGACACGGCCCAGACUCCUACGGGAGGCAGCAGUGGGGAAUUUUGGACAAUGGGCGAAAGCCUGAUCCAGCAAUGCCGCGUGUGUGAAGAAGGCCUUCGGGUUGUCCAAAGCACUUUUGUCCGGAAAGAAAUCCUACGUCCUAAUAUGGCCGGGGGAUGACGGUACCGGAAGAAUAAGCACCGGCUAACUACGUGCCAGCAGCCGCGGUAAUACGUAGGGUGCAAGCGUUAAUCGGAAUUACUGGGCGUAAAGCGUGCGCAGGCGGUUUGCUAAGACCGAUGUGAAAUCCCCGGGCUCAACCUGGGAACUGCAUUGGUGACUGGCAGGCUAGAGUAUGGCAGACAGGGGUAGAAUUCCACGUGUAGCAGUGAAAUGCGUAGAGAUGUGGAGGAAUACCGAUGGCGAAGGCAGCCCCC
Molecule: ribosomal RNA, 525 nt
Filed under: uncultured Burkholderia sp.
Lineage: Bacteria; Pseudomonadati; Pseudomonadota; Betaproteobacteria; Burkholderiales; Burkholderiaceae
Description: bacterial SSU rRNA
Rfam family: Bacterial small subunit ribosomal RNA
Source: RNAcentral